This is a long non-coding RNA of Centrocercus urophasianus (Greater sage-grouse), 271 nucleotides long. RefSeq lists it as uncharacterized. Lineage: Eukaryota; Metazoa; Chordata; Aves; Galliformes; Phasianidae. The transcript is spliced from 3 exons. The record is from RefSeq and is a predicted model, not a curated record.
GUGAACAAGAAAUACUUCUUUGGGGCAUAACGUGUAAGAGACAGACUAUGGUUGUUCUACAUACGGAUUUAUCAAAAAAGUUAAAGUGAGUCAUAUGAAGGUAUGAACAUCUCAGUAGCAUAUUUAAAGAUGGAAGAGCAACUUUUGUACCUCUAAUAUUCCUGAUAUCACCACAGACAGAAUGGUGCACAAAUACAGCUGUUAUUCCAGUCUAUUAAAAAGGGAUGUGACAAAAUGGGACAAAUUAGAAUUUCUUUUUUCCUCCGUUCUU